UGGCACAAAAACAUUGUCCUUCUCUCUCUCGUCUUGAGAGUUGUGAUAUUUCUGUUGUGCAAGAGCAAAACCCGGAGGUAAAUUAGCAGAGCGGCUCGCCGGUGUCGCUUUUGCCAGUCCCCUUCGCACAAGA
Molecule: small nucleolar RNA, 133 nt
Organism: Hippocampus comes (tiger tail seahorse)
Lineage: Eukaryota; Metazoa; Chordata; Actinopteri; Syngnathiformes; Syngnathidae
Source: Ensembl